Molecule: ribosomal RNA, 377 nt
Filed under: uncultured organism
Description: partial 16S ribosomal RNA
Rfam family: Bacterial small subunit ribosomal RNA
Source: RNAcentral
GGGGGGGGCGAGCGUUUGUUUCGGAAUUACUGGGCGUAAAGGGCGCGCAGGCGGUUUCGUCAGUCAUGGGUGAAAGCCCCGGGCUCAACCCGGGAAAGGCCUGUGAAACCACGGAACUGGAGUGCUGGAGAGGGAAGCGGAAUUCCCAGUGUAGCGGUGAAAUGCGUAGAUAUUGGGAGGAACAUCGGUGGCGAAGGCGGCUUCCUGGACAGACACUGACGCUGAGGCGCGAAAGCCAGGGGAGCGAACGGGAUUAGAUACCCCGGUAGUCCUGGGCUGUAAACGAUGAAUACUUGGUGUAGGGGGUAGGAAAGUCCCCUCUGUGCCCGCAGAGAACUCGAUAAGUAUUCCGCCUGGGGAGUACGGCCGCAAGGCUG